Molecule: transfer RNA, 88 nt
Filed under: bacterium
Lineage: Bacteria
Also listed under: 3 other names
Description: tRNA-Ser
Rfam family: tRNA
About the family: Transfer RNA (tRNA) molecules are approximately 80 nucleotides in length.
Source: RNAcentral
GGAGAGGUGACCGAGCGGCCGAAGGUGCACGACUGGAAAUCGUGUGUGGUGAAAGCCACCGGGGGUUCAAAUCCCCCCCUCUCCGCCA